Molecule: ribosomal RNA, 1242 nt
Filed under: Parabacteroides distasonis
Lineage: Bacteria; Pseudomonadati; Bacteroidota; Bacteroidia; Bacteroidales; Tannerellaceae
Description: bacterial SSU rRNA
Rfam family: Bacterial small subunit ribosomal RNA
Source: RNAcentral
AGAUUCAUCGCUGAUAGAUAGGCAUGCGUUCCAUUAGGCAGUUGGCGGGGUAACGGCCCACCAAACCGACGAUGGAUAGGGGUCUGAGAGGAAGGUCCCCCACAUUGGUACUGAGACACGGACCAAACUCCUACGGGAGGCAGCAGUGAGGAAUAUUGGUCAAUGGCCGAGAGGCUGAACCAGCCAAGUCGCGUGAGGGAUGAAGGUUCUAUGGAUCGUAAACCUCUUUUAUAAGGGAAUAAAGUGCGGGACGUGUCCCGUUUUGUAUGUACCUUAUGAAUAAGGAUCGGCUAACUCCGUGCCAGCAGCCGCGGUAAUACGGAGGAUCCGAGCGUUAUCCGGAUUUAUUGGGUUUAAAGGGUGCGUAGGCGGCCUUUUAAGUCAGCGGUGAAAGUCUGUGGCUCAACCAUAGAAUUGCCGUUGAAACUGGGGGGCUUGAGUAUGUUUGAGGCAGGCGGAAUGCGUGGUGUAGCGGUGAAAUGCAUAGAUAUCACGCAGAACCCCGAUUGCGAAGGCAGCCUGCCAAGCCAUUACUGACGCUGAUGCACGAAAGCGUGGGGAUCAAACAGGAUUAGAUACCCUGGUAGUCCACGCAGUAAACGAUGAUCACUAGCUGUUUGCGAUACACUGUAAGCGGCACAGCGAAAGCGUUAAGUGAUCCACCUGGGGAGUACGCCGGCAACGGUGAAACUCAAAGGAAUUGACGGGGGCCCGCACAAGCGGAGGAACAUGUGGUUUAAUUCGAUGAUACGCGAGGAACCUUACCCGGGUUUGAACGCAUUCGGACCGAGGUGGAAACACCUUUUCUAGCAAUAGCCGUUUGCGAGGUGCUGCAUGGUUGUCGUCAGCUCGUGCCGUGAGGUGUCGGCUUAAGUGCCAUAACGAGCGCAACCCUUGCCACUAGUUACUAACAGGUAAAGCUGAGGACUCUGGUGGGACUGCCAGCGUAAGCUGCGAGGAAGGCGGGGAUGACGUCAAAUCAGCACGGCCCUUACAUCCGGGGCGACACACGUGUUACAAUGGCGUGGACAAAGGGAAGCCACCUGGCGACAGGGAGCGAAUCCCCAAACCACGUCUCAGUUCGGAUCGGAGUCUGCAACCCGACUCCGUGAAGCUGGAUUCGCUAGUAAUCGCGCAUCAGCCAUGGCGCGGUGAAUACGUUCCCGGGCCUUGUACACACCGCCCGUCAAGCCAUGGGAGCCGGGGGUACCUGAAGUCCGUAACCGCGAGGAUCGGCCUAGG